GAGGAAGGUGAAUUGGUUGAUUUCCAAAAGAACUGUUUGGUUAUCUUGGAUAUUUUUGCCAAAUGGCAUGGUCAUACCUGCUGGACCCAAUUAUUGGAGGAAGUUUAUUGUUGACAUACACAACGGGCAAUGUUGCACGUCUUCCUACUAUAGCUUCUUUUGCUAGAGCACUGCAGGUCACCGUUGGAUCAUGGUGCUCCAAUUCUAUGAGGUGGUAGCGAGCACCUGGUCCUCCGCUUCUGACCAUGACUGUGGACCUUCCUCCCUUCUCGUGCUAGCCAACACAGGUUGAUCUCUGCUUGUAAAUAUAUGACUGCAGUUCCCACGUGCGGUGGUUGCUUAGCCCACUGGUAGGAUCAUCUGCUUGUUAGACUUUCAAGCCGCAAAAUGUGUUGUUUAGUUACUUGGGUAGCCGACGUCCUUUGAUCACCAAAACAUGUAAUAGAUUUUGUACUGUCUAGGUCCUCGCCAUCAGGCAAUCAACAUACCAUUGCUAAAUUCGUACGUCCGAAUUUGUCGUUUCUUUUU
Long non-coding RNA from Zea mays, 528 nucleotides. RefSeq lists it as uncharacterized. The record is from RefSeq and is a predicted model, not a curated record. NCBI's taxonomy places the organism in Eukaryota, Viridiplantae, Streptophyta, Magnoliopsida, Poales, Poaceae. The transcript has 3 exons.